Long non-coding RNA from Homo sapiens (human), 24220 nucleotides. RefSeq lists it as uncharacterized. NCBI's taxonomy places the organism in Eukaryota, Metazoa, Chordata, Mammalia, Primates, Hominidae. The transcript is spliced from 2 exons. The record is from RefSeq and is a predicted model, not a curated record.
GUCUAGGGAGCUGCUCAGGCUCCGUGGUGAUCCCAGAGGGCUCGGGUCCUUCUCUAGAGAUCAGGCCUUGAGCUGGGCAGAGUCCGGGGCUUCUCACGGCAUCUGCUGGAGCCUUGCAGAGAUUUCGCCUUCUCCUUUCUUCGCUGGAAGCCUUUGAUAUUUCUCUUAAUUCGGCAACUAGUUUUUUCUGUGUAAUUCGCCAUCCACAGACUGUGCUACCACACUGACUUGCUUUAAACAGUAUCUCCCUCUAACUAGGUUAUUAGGUGAUAAGUUUUUACAGCAAGUUUCUGAAGCUGUCUACCUUUCUUCACCUCUGAAGUGCUGAGUCUUGUCUCGUGUUAAGCGUUUUCUUCUAAGUGUGGCCAGCAUUGAUACAGAAGUGCAGGUUCUUAUUUUGCUCAUCUGUGUGAAUACCCAGGAAUGCCUUUCAGUGGGAGCGUUGCUAACCCAGCAGAGCCUUUGGGAGCCGGGCUCGUUUCUCUGUUGUGAUCGGCAGUGCAGGUGCCAUUGCUUCCCCCGUCAGAGCCCAGUCUGCCUGGCACCGGUGGUGUCCUCUGUUUUACUCUCAUCCCCAGCCCCGCUCCUGGGUUCUGCAGCUGCCUUGGUUGUGCCAUGACCUGUCCAUCUCCCAGGACAGCACAACUGGGAGUUCACAUGGGUGGCUUCCUUCUCCUCACUUGCCACACUGUGCCGGCCACAGUUUUCUCUUACGAGGCCUCAUGACUUCUCACCUGCUGGAGCUUUCUAAUAGGGCUUCCUGCUUCCUGCCUUCUGACAGCUCCCAUCCCUUUUCAGUCAUUCUUGGACGAGGGUGGUGUCCACUGGUGCCCCCACCCCAUUGCCUUCAGUAGCAGGUGUGCCCUGUGUGUCUGCGACCUGGCGCUCCGCUGCCCUCUGGCUCGCUCUCUCUGUCAGCACCAGGGCCGCACGUGGUCCCUUCCUCUCCAUCUGCUCAGGGGCCCCCACCACCUGGCCCUCUCCUCUCUCUCCCUUCUGAGUUGUAGUCUUAAAAUUGUCUCUUUAGCCGGGCGUGGUGGCUCAUGCCUGUAGUCUCAACACUUUGGGAGGCCGAGGAGGGCAGAUCGCUUGAGGUCAGGAGUUCGAGACCAGCCUGGCCAACAUGGUGAAACCCCGUCUCUACUAAAAAUACAAAAAUUAGCCAGGCGCGGUGGCGCGCACCUGUAAUCCCGGCUGCUCAGGAGGGUGAGGCACAAGAAUCGCUUGAACCCAGGAAGCAGAGGUUGCAGUGAGCCGAGAUGGUGCCAUUGCACUCCAGCCAGGGUGACAGAGUGAGACUCCGUCUCCCAAAAAAAAAAAAAAAAGAGACUCCGUCUCUUUACCUGUGUGUGUCUCCUCCAACCCAAGCUCAGUAGAAUAAUAGCAAACAAAAUACAAUGGUGUUGGUUUGUUUGGGGAGCUACUUUCCUCUAAAGCGAAGUGUUCACUAAGACAUUCUAACCGUCCUGCUUUGGUGCAUUCAACAGGUUUUCUCCUCGGCCCAGGCCCUUGUGUAGCAAAAAAGUGGAAUAUGAACUGAAAUCUGGGGUCUCCCUUUGACAGGAAAUUGCCAUCUUGCCAAUGUUUUUCAGAUACACACUUGACCCAAACGGUGCCUUUUCCGGCUUCAUUGGAGCUUGUGAACUUGUUUGCAGGUUUGACUUCCUAUAUUGUUUGACCUCAUGGAUACAGUUUUCUCUUACUUAGUUGUAUGUGAGGGAUCAGAGAAGUUCAGAGGUAGAAGGGACUCACUUAAUAGCACGCUCUAUUUUGCAGUUAGGGAAGUCGAGUCCAGAGAGAAGAUGAUGUUCAUGGAGAGAACCGAAGCCAGAAGGGGAACCAGAGCGCGUGCCUUAGUGCCUCCCUGGCGUUCUUCCCAGCAUUGCUUGUUGCCUCCUGGACAGAUAAGCACCUCCGUCUUCAUUGAUGACUUGGGGGCCAGGCACGGUGCUGGACUGUAGUGCUACCAAAAAGGACUGAUGAGCUAUAGUCCGUGGGCUUGGCCCUGCCCUGCUCCUGGUUUUGUAUGACCUGCAAGCUCAGAAUGGAUUUUACAUUUCCUGAUUUUGGAAAAAGAAAAAAAUCGGGAGGAAUAUUUACUAACGUGAAAAUAUAAGAAAUUAAGAUUUCUGUGUUCACACAUAAAGUUUUCUUGGAACACAGCUAACCAUCCAUUACUAUGAAUGAAUGGAGCUAUCCAUUCAUUUACUUCCACCACCAAUCCCGGCUAAUUUUUGUAUUUUUAGUAGAGACAGGGUUUCACCACGUUGGCCAGGCUGGUCUCAAACUCCUGACCUCAAGUGAUCCACCUGCCUUGGCCUCCCAAAAUGCUGGAUUACAGGCGUGAGCCACUGCAUCUGACCUACUUGGCUCUUUACAGAGAGGAUACCUGAUCUCUGCUCUUAGGAGGCCAUAGAUCUGUGAGCCCCCUUUUUUGUCCACAAAAGUCGUGUGUGUGUGUGUGUGUGUGUAUAUGUGUAUAUACACACAUGUGUAUGUGUGUGUAUAUAUACACACGUACGUGUGUAUAUAUACACAUAUGUAUGUGUGUAUAUGUGUAUGCAUGUGUAUAUAUACGUAUGUGUAUAUGUGUAUGCAUAUGUGUAUACUUGUGUGUAUGUUUAUACAUAUAUGUAUGUAUGUGUAUAUAUGUAUCUAUAUACACAUGUACAUAUGGGUAUAUAUGUAUCUAUAUGCACAUAUAUGUACAUGUGUGUAUAUGUAUCUAUAUGCAUAUAUAUGUGCAUGUGUGUAUAUGUAUCUAUACACAUACAUGUACAUAUGUGUAUGUAUAUAUGUGUAUAUAUGUAUACAUGAGUAUAUAUGUACAUAUGUGUAUAGAUACAUAUAUGUACAGAUGUGUAUAUAUGUGCAUGUAUACAUGUAUGUAUAUAUGUGCAUAUAUGCAUGUAUGUAUAUAUGUGCAUAUAUGCAUGUAUGUAUAUAUGUGCAUAUAUGCAUGUAUGUAUAUAUGUGCAUAUAUGCAUGUAUGUAUAUAUGUGCAUAUAUGCAUGUAUACAUGUAUACGUAUAUAUGCAUGUAUACAUGUAUACGUAUAUAUGCAUAUAUACAUGUAUACAUAUAUACGUAUAUAUGUAUAUAUACAUGUAUACAUAUAUACGUAUAUAUGUAUAUAUACAUGUAUACAUAUAUGUGUAUAUGUGUGUGUGUAUAUAUAUACACACAUUUUUUGUUUUGAGAACCCUUGAUUUUCAAAACUUCGAGCCAACAAGGUUAAGAGCUCUAGUCCUUAACCCGCACGUCCAGUUUUGGUUGGAGACCACCUCCAAUGCGAUCUUGCUGGUUCCCUCUCGUGUGUUAGUUCUUUCAAAAUGAACUGCAGCCCUCGCCAGAUCCACAUUGCGCUUUCACCACAUGUGAAACAAUUCGCAACAAGAACCUUCAUUCCUUUAUAUUUCUUAUAUAAGGAAGAUAAUAAUAGCUUCCAUUUAAAUGAGGAUUUAGUGACUUCCUUUCUAAAAAACAUCCAUCCACACAUGUGGCAUUGGUUAAACCAAAAGGGAUGUGUAAGCAUAGAAUCUUAAAUUAUUUUACCUUGUUGUGCGGAGUUGGGAGGUUGGGUUGGGAAUGACAGUAUUUUUCCAAGGCCCUCACCAUCAUUUUUCUCCAAAGCUAUGAUCUCUACCCCUCUCUCACUUCUGCCUGGGCGCUGGUCAGAUCAGCCCUGACCCCUGUAUACUGCUGAGAAUAUAAUCACUAGUUAGAGGAAAAUAGAAGCUGUUAGGGAGCAUUUUUAGGACAGUGGUGAAUGACAUCCCCUGCGGCCUUGAUCUAAAUCAGGCUUGCAGAUUAACGAGGAGGAAGUCUUUCUGGAAGAAAAGCAACUGCAAAGCUGGUGGAGCCCCUGACAGCAGGCCUCCUGUGGAUUUGGGAGGGUCAGUUCUGUCGCUGCCCUGGUACCUGUGCAGAGAAGAGCUUUGUUAUACUCUGCUAGAUCGUAAGCUCCAAGAAAGCAUUUUGUUUUUCCAGACUAAAUCGAACUGUGCCCAGAAUGGUGCCUGCCGUGUAGUCGGUGCUCUGCAAGUACUUGUGGAUGGAGUGAUUCCAGUAGAAUGGGUGCGCAUGGAAGACAAGGGUUGUUGUAAGGAGUCAUUUGUGGCCUGGGUCUUUUGCUCAGAGAGGAGGGAAGGAGAGCAGGAGGGGAGAAAUGCUAUUGAAAUAACAACAUAUAUGGCCAGAAACACAGACAUUCCAGAAAGCCCUCGUUCGCCCUCUGGCACAUGCUUCCUGAAUGAGGAGAAGCCGCGCUGAAGCUCUGUUAGGCUGUUGGUCCACACUCAGACACUUUUUAAGCCAUUGUUUGUUUUUACUUUCUAGACUAAUUUUAGAGCUACGUAAAGAAACUGAUUUGUUUUUCUAAAACUAAUUGAAGUAGAUACUGGUGGAGUCAUUGGGAAACGAACCAUCAUUCAAAACAUUAAUCAUAUACUGAAGGAAUAUUUUUGCCACCAAAAACCACAGAUAUUUGAAUAUCUGUGAACCCAAAGAAUGAAUGUUUCUGGAGUAUUUUCACACACACUCACUUUUAUAGAAUAACCAUAUAUGUGUUUGCUUUUUAAUUAUUUUAAGUAUGACGCAAAGGCUUAAAUGAAUAUAUUAUUUCACUCAGAAAUGUGAGAAAUUCUAAAAUUUAGGUGAUGCAGCUAGCUGUCUUCUUUCUCUCUAUCAAUGUUUAAUGGUAAUUUCUUGCUCUUUUAAUUCCCUAAUGAAUUAAUCCUACAAAAGAAGUAAUUGCUUUUAAAAACUGGAUUAUCGUAACUUUGUCCUUUCAUGGAUUCAAACAUAUAAUUCAUCAUCAUUCCGUAAGUAUGAAAUUUCAGAAAAUGCUAUUAGCAAACUUAAAACAAAUAGGUGUAAACCUUAUCAGUGUUGUGACAUAGGGUUGGCUUUUGGAUUUCAUAUUGAAGCCAACAGACCUAGUAGGAAAAUGACUGAGGAAAUAUUAAUACCUUAGCACACCUUGCAUUUCAUGAGCAUUUCAACCAAAGGAAACUCCUAAGAGAAAGUGUUGAGGAAAACCUGGCUGCUUCUGAGGAGCUGGAGUGUGAUUUCCUCUCAGUAAGAAUAUGAGUAGAUGAUCCAUCUCCCUUUCCUCUGUGAUUAUCAGGGAAGUAUAAGAGGCACAGCUGCCCUCUAGGAAGAAGCCCCAGGGCUUUCUAGGGCCUUUUAUGAUUUAGUCUCAGAAAUUAGAACUUAACCCCAGGGAAGAUUAACAAAUCAGGAGACCAGGCCAGGUGUGGUGGCUCACACUUGUAAUCCCAGCGCUUUGGGAAGCUGAAGCUGGAGGAUAGCUUGAGGCCAGGAGUUUGAGACCAGCCUGGGCAACAUAGUAAGGACCCCAUCUUCAUAAAAAUAACUAUUUUCCUAGGUUUUGAAGGUUUUUGUUUUUUUUUUUUAAAUUAUCCAGGCAUGAGGCCAAGGCGGGCGGAUCAUGAGGUCAGGAGAUCAAGACCAUCCUGGCUAACAGUGAAACCCUGUCUCUACUAAAAAUACAAAAAAAAUUAGCCAGGCGUGGUGGCAGGUGCCUGUAGUCCCAGCUACUCGGGAGGCUGAGGCAGGAGAAAGGCGUGAACCCAGGAGGCAAGAGGUUGCUGUGAGCCGAGAUCACGCCACUGCACUCCAGCCUGGGCAAUUGAGCAAGACUGCGUCUCCACCAAAAAAAAAAUCCAGGCAUGGUGACUACAUGCCCCCUGUAGUCCCAGCUACUUAAGAGGCUGAGGUGGGAGGAUUGCUUGAGCCCAGUAAAUCAAGGCUACAGUGAGCUAUGGUUGCACCACUACACUCCAGCCUAUUCCACAGAGCAAGACCCUGUCUCAAAAAGAAAAAAAAACGAAAAGGCAGCAGUGCCCAGACCAGCGCCCAGAGGUAGCAGCUAUUCCCUGGGGCCACAGCAGGAAACCUCCACUUGAAAAGAGAAGACAUUUGAAGUCAAGUUACAGCAAACAGGCAAUUAGAAGUGUGUUUGAGGGUUUGAUCAAGAAAGAUUUCAGUUUGAAACCCCACAAAUGAUUGACAUGUCCUGUAUAGUGGGUCCAUGCUAGAGGCUUCCACAUGUGUUAUCUUGCUUAUUCUUUUCAAGAGCAAACCCACUUACACAAGGAAAGGGUCCAGAAGCUAGAAAUCAAACGAGAGGGGAGUAGUCCUUUGAGACAUGUAGAUGCACAGCCUCCCUCCUUUCUAAGCAUUUAAUAGGUAUCCUCAGGCAGAAUGAUGUGAUGCCCAGCAGCAGGUGGGUUCCUCAGUUCCUCAGAGUGAGCAUAGUGGUCCGCAAACCUGCGUGUGCUUAAGGAUUCUAGUGCAGAGUUUCAGGCAUAGAGCCCGUAGAGAAGAUGCUCUUGUCCAGCUGGAGCCAGUCUGCUUACUCCCAGGAAUCUUUAAAAACAUGCACACCAUAAUGAUUUUAUUUUAAAACUUAAUAAAUCUGCAUUAUUUUCCAAUGAUUGAUGUCGAACCAAGGCCCUUUCCAAGGGAGUGCUUGCGUUUGCCACUUGGAAGAGCCAAGGACUUUUGAACAUGGAUUCAUUGCUUGGAGCCCUCUCUUGUGUAAAGCAUGCUCGUAAUGUAUCACUUACUGUUACCACUUUGGAUUUCUUCAAAGUAGAGCAAAACUUAGGUGUACUUAGAAAUCUGAGUACAGCCCUAGCCUUUUUGAUUUUUCUCAUUUUCUCACACCUGGUUUUGACAACAGUUUUUAGUCUAGAGCCUUUCCAAAUCAUUCAAUGUAGUUUUCUUUGAAACAUCAGCUCCCCUUUUGUAAUCAUCCCCUGUUGUAUGUAAAAAUGAAUUAAAUAUAACAAGUUCAGCUAGCCAAAAAAGUGUAAGAGGAAGGAGAGCGUUCCCUCUAUCCUCUUAGGUUUGUGGCUGGGGCCUGUGAAUUACAGUGGUGAAAGACAUAUUAACAGGAGAAAAGGACAUAUACAUUUAAUUGGUGUUUUAAAUUUUAUGUUCCCAAGAGGUCUCCACACAAAAGAGGAAACCCCAAAGAAGUGGUUAGGUUUGAGGGCUCAUAUACCAUUUUAACAAAGGAUGAUAAAUUGCGGAGAAGUUCCUAGACAAAAGAAAGUGGGGUUUCUAGGCUUCUUGGGGGUGGUAAAAUGUGGGGAGGUGGAUAUACGGGGAAACAAAUGGAAGACAAAGGCUGUUUAGUAAGGUCUGUUGAUGCCGUCUCGGCCCAGUUUCAUCUCUCUGGUAAUGAAUUGUUUUCCUUUUCCUGGUACGGGAAAGUGGGAAUACCUUUACAGACAGGAAUUUAAGCCCUUUCAGGCAGCAAUAGAGAGUUCUUUCUGCAUCUGUUGCUUCUCAGUUGCCUUUAGCUAAAAAUAAUCCGUAUUCAAAAGUGGCAUAUUUUAGAAUUGCAUAUUCUGAUUCCCGUCAGAAGUUUAGGGAACGAACCCUGCCAGCUCUUCAGCAGCCAUAUCCCGAGGGGAAGAGUCACGUGUGAGCUGUGUGGAGUCCCGUGACCAUCUCACUCUGGAUAGGGAACCAAGGUUUCUCAAGGAGUGUUUUCCUUCUUAUUCUGAGAGUCCCUGCUGCAGACUUUGAGAGUUUUUUCCCUGCAAAUGAAGUUUAUUGAUGUCACAGCUCCAGAAAUGUUAACACACAUCCUGUUGUAAACAGAAUGUGUAAAUGUCAUACAUUUUUGCACAAGUAAUUUAGAAGUACUUUGAGCAAAAUAUGAGUUCACUGUUACCUCCCCCUCUGAAUACCAAAUUCCCCAGAGAGAACAUCAGUAGUUUGAUGUGUGUCAUUUCUAUCUUUUUCUAUGAAUUUAUAUUCUUUUAUAUGAGAUCAUACUACGUAAUUUGUUCUUAGCAUUUGCUCUUUUUAUUUAACAUCAUGUCUUGGAGAACUCUCUAUUUUAAGACUCAAAUUAUUUCUUUUUAUGUUUUAAACUUUAUAUAAAUAUGAUUUCAAACUUACAAGUUGCAAGACCAGUACAAGAAAUACCCAUAUAGUAUCCCUUACCCAGAUUCACCAAUUGUUUACAUUUUGCCUCAUUUACUUUCCCUCUCCUCUUUCUCCCCCAUAUAUGUUUAUACACACAUACACAUAUGCAUAUACAUUUUUUUCCUAUUCGAGGAUACAUUUUACACUAUUUGAGAGUUAGUCGGCAACUUGCUAUUGUAAACGAUAAAACACAAGGCCUGUAAUUGAUUUAAAAUUUUAAUAGAUGUUGCCAAAUUGCUCUCUAAAAAAGCUGAAAAGAUUGUGAGUACAUAUUUACCUAUUCUUAACCAACAUUUUAAUCUAUUUUUCAGUGUCUGGCAGAUGAGAAAUUGCUAUCUCAUUGUUUUAAUUUUAAAACAGGAAAACUGUUUUUGCAAGUUAAUUGACUGUUUGCAUUCAUUCUUCUGUUAAUUCCGUAUACGUGUGUAUAUAUAUAUAUAUAUAUAUAUAUAUAUAUAUAUAUAUAUAUAUAUAUAUCUUGCCUGUUUUUCUUUUGGGUGGUUUAACUUCCAAAAUGUGAACAUUUCGUGAAUGUACCUGUCUUUGCCCAGGGACUACACUGAUCUUCUCUGCAUGUUUGAGCUGUGGCGUGCAUGCUUGUAAAGAGAGUGCCUAAAAAGAGGUCCAUGAUUCAGGGUCCUCCCCACCCCACUCAGGGGUGAGGUAGGACUAUCUAGGCCCUGCCUUAAGGGACUAGAAAACUUCCAAUUAAUGUGCAUUAAUUUUAUGGUUCCUGCUCAGUUUUGAAUAUACCAAAGUAUAUUUCAUUACUUUGGGCUUAUAUGAAGUACAAUUUAAAAGAAAUUUAGAUUUCUUAGGUCAGAUGACAUAAAAGGAAUAUUUCUAACUAUAGUUCUUGCUCCUUUUGAACUUUAACUGAUACAAGGACAAAGGGGGGGAAAUCACAUUUUCAGAUUAAAUUUGCUCUUGUCGCUGCAUGUGCUACUAGGAAUUAAGCCCUGUUACAAAUCCUCCUUGUCUCCUCUAUUCCCGUUAGCAUUGUUUUUGCUGCAGUCAGGUACUGGCCUUCUGGAAUAUUCCUCCAGUGGCAUGCUGUACCUUAAGGUUGGGAGCAGCUAUAUAUACACAGGGUACAGGCUCUCUAGCCUCUUCCGAGCAUGCUAUUCUGGUGCCUUUGUUCUGUCUUAAGUUCCUCCAACAUUCAUCUUCCUCUUUCAGAGAAUCCUUGUUUUACAGAAGAGGCCGCUUGUGAAAGAGAGUGAUUUGAUCAAAUCACUAGCAGAAUUGGUGGGAAACUAGACUCUACGUUAGAACCUACUCCUGACUUCCAUUUAGUUCUUUGUACUGUGUCACACUGAUAAGUGAAUUUUUUAUAAGCGUAAUUGAUUUUAUUAAGUACACAGUAUUACUCAAGACUUUCGCUUCUGUGUCAAGUGAGUGAAACUGAACCCACAGUGGCUUAAACAUACAAGCAAAUGAAAUGGCAUCUGUUGGCUCAUGAAACUGAAAUCCAGGCACAGCUGGAUCUGUGGCCUGAAGUUACCAUCAUUCUCAUACCCCACCCCACCCCCAGCCUCCACUUUUUCAGUCAGGCCAUCCUUCCCGCAUGGAAGCAAGGUGCCCCCGCAGCUCUGGGCUGCCACCCUGACCUCUCAGCUGACCAGACAGAAAAGGGGCUUCUCUUCCUCCUACGUUUCAAGGGGUGAGGUCAACUUCAUCUAAACUCUGUAACCUAGAAGGAAGGGGAUGAGAGGAUACCCCAGGGGAAAGCCAGGGCUAGUAACAAUAGAAAUGGCAAUAGAGGCCGGGUGCAGUGGCUCACACCUGUAAUCCCAACACUUUGGGAGGCCAAGGUGAGUGGAUCAACUGAAGUCUGGAGUUCGAGACCGGCCUAACCAACAUGGAAAAACCCUGUCUCUACUAAAAAAAAAAAAAUACAAAAUUAGCCGGGCGUGGUGGCGCAUGCCUGUAAACCCAGCUACUCGGGAGGCCAAGGCAGGAGAAUCGCUUGAACCCGGGAGGCAGAGGUUGCAGUGAGCCAAGAUCGCACCAUUGCACUCCAGUCUGGGCAACGAGUGAAGCUCCAUCUCAAAAAAAAAAAAAAAAAGACAGUAGGUACUGAGCAAGCCUGGACAAUCAUACUUUGAAUUAAUGUCAUGUUCCAGCGUUUGGGUGGCCCUCUGAAACAGUACACAGUCAUCCUCCCAAUGCAGCUGUGCCCAAGAUGCUGCUCACCAGGAGACUGAGCUGUGCCCAGCUCUGUACUUCCUCUUUUUGAAUAGGUGUUCUUCCUCCUUUUCUAGUCCUAUCUUUGGGAGCUAGGCACUGCAUUUAUCUCCUUUUUAAUUUGAUAUCUCACCUUUUACACAUCAGUCACAUUAAUUACACAAAUGGACUGUUUAUGAGGAUCCCCUUGGAGAAGGUGCCAGGGAGUCCAAUUCUCCAAGGCUCUUUUGCCUUGGGUGCAGAAGGUUUAACUAACGUGGCUUGAGUACUUAGAUUGGAUGGAUGGGAGCCGAUUCCCUAGAACAGUCUGAAAAAAUAAAAUCGGAUGUUUUUAAAAUAUCCAGGGAAAGAUCCAGAGUAGAUGGACAAAUUCACUUAAACUUUAAAUGGUAAAAUGGAAGUGUUGUGCAGAUAUUUCAGUGGUCUUUAGAAUCUCCUACAUUGCCUAGUCCAAUUGUUUACACACAUUAGGGGCUUCAUUAACAUUUGCGUGUACAUGAGUGAGUUGUUGGAGGAAUUUUUAUCCCUUCUGCUUCCGUUAUUAGUGUUUGUCUUUUAAAAAGAAGAGUAAAAGGAAUGGUUUGUUAGGGUAGUCGGGACAAAUUACCAAGGCACCAAGAGGCACUCCUACACUCCUGCCGCCCUAAGCACUUAGGGGACGUCCUCCAAAUCAGACGAGUCAGCAGGCCUGUGCUCCUGCGCCAUGUCCCUGCUGUACGUGCACAUGUCCUUUUAAGUGAAGUCAAUAUAUUCCUCUUCACAGCUGCAUCCCAGUGCUCAAGGGAACUUCUUGAGAGUAAGAACCAAGACAUUUCGUCCUAGUUUUUCUACUACCUGCCACAUGGUAGGCGGCCACUAAACUGUGGAGUGGAUGAAAGCAUUUUCUUCCGUGAUGGUUCAUCUUAAAUGUCUUUUGAUAAUUAGCAUUUUAUUGAAAAUUAUAUUGUUUUAUCUGAGCAAAAUCUACUUAAAGGGUUCAUUGAACUUCAACAACAAGUGAAAUAAUAAAAGAACCCACACGAUGCACACGGUGGCUUGCCAGGGCUUGGGUGCCGGAGGGAGGAGACAGCUUCUGUGUCCUUUCUCACCAGCAGUCUCUGGCCCCAGUGGAGCCCCAGGCUCACCUCCCCUCUCCCGCUUUGUGUGCUCGGCCCCUGCAGCUGGAGUCUGCUUUACUUGAUUCAUGUUACUUGGUGUCCACACAGUUGCUGGCUCCUGAGUAUCUUCCGUGGCUUCUGAGUUCCUGAAACACAUUUUCCUCAGGUUUUGAGGCAUCUUUUUAAAGCUUGCUUUUAGUUUCGGAUUCACUCUAUGUCCCAUGCCAUACACCCAUCAGCCGUCUGCCUGGGAGAGUUUCUGGAAGCUCCAUGCCUCUUCAUAGGCACGUUGCCAUGUACCACAUGGCAGGCAGGUGUGACUGGAGCUUGGCAUUGCAGAGCCCCUGACUUCCAGGAGCUCAGAGCCUGGCAGAAUGGAUAUUCAAGAAAGAGCCCUCGUUUCUGAUGAUAGGGUCUGUUUGAAAAGCAUUGUGGUUGACAGAGCCAUGCCACGCUGUCUGCAGACCAGAGGCCGGGCCCCUCGCAGUGUUGAAAGUUCAGCCCUGCCGUUGUGGGUAGUGCUCCCUAAGGCAAGGGCAGAUGCCAGACUAUUGUUAAGAAGAUUAUACUAAACUGAUCCUUGUACAGCCCUGCUUCUCGUGGAGUGAUGACACCGAAUGAAUGAGAUAAACUGUCUCUUUUUAAAAAGUAAUUACCCCGAUAUAGUGAAUACCCAUCUCCUCCAGUGAUAUGGACCUGAUGUAAUUGGCUCUCAGUCUAGGAUCAUAAAUGGCAUCUGCCAAGGCAUCCUUAAUAGGAAAUAUUAAGAAAACAUUUUAAAGCUUAUCUCCAAAGUGUUUGUUACUGCAGGUUAUUUUCUGGACGAUGUAUUUGCUCUUCCGAGCAAGUGGAUUUGAUGCUCAAUUCUUCCAUUCACUGCGCCCCUCCCUGCCCUGGCUUUUGGGAAGAUAACAUUUCACAAUCAGGUUUAUUUAUGAUAACAUCUGGUCUGUCCUCCCUACUUUAUUAUUUAAGACUUGUUUGUGCUUAAAAAGAACUUUUUUUAAUGGGAACACACUAGGUUCUCAAAUAUACUUUCAGCCCAGUUACCUCAGUCAUAGUCAUCUCUCAUUUCUGUCUGCAGUUUAAGUUCUUAUUUAUGUCUGUGCAGUAAGGAGAGGGAGCGUGUUGCCAGGAGAAAAGCUGUAAACGGCUUUGGGCCUCAUCGUACAGCUACAGGUUGUACUUAGGACCCGUGUUAGCCACUUAGACUACAGCUGUGCACUGUGUCCCCCUCAUCCCCACCCCGACCUCCAGCUGAGAAAUAAUUAUCACAGAGUCCAUGCACUGAAAUGGAGGUGUUUAAUCACAAGAACACCUCCGCAGUGCCUGUGUGAUCGGCCGUCCCUAUGUGAGCUGCUGAUCUCAGAGACAGCAUUAGGAUGGCGACCACUGCCCCAGACGGCCCAGUGCUCUACCCCUAGCGUGAUCUGAACUGCUGAAGUCAGAGAAGUCCACGUUGGAUAAACAAAGCCAGCCCAGUAGUAACCUGGCUGUCACAGUGACCGUGUGUCCGUCUUACUGAACCUGGGUUUACGUGACUAGGAUGCUGACACAAGUGAGUUUGCGCAUGGCUUGCUGUUCUCUUCAACCCUCUCCAGCCUGAAUAGGAAUGUUAAACCCACUCAGGAAUUCUCGUUGGUCUAAAGGACUGUGUUCAUUGGUCUUUGACACUCCGUCAACCAACUUAGCGGGGUUGACCUGAGCCUUCGGACACGAUGUGCCUGUGGGUGCCUGCCUCUCCUCCCACGAGACAGACCUGAACUGUCUCCUCAGCUGCUCAGCUGAUUGUGAGAAAUGUAUUCUGUGACAAAGGCAGGCCACAUUUCAGCGUCUUUUCUGAAGUGGCAUGCUUAAUUCCGCAGGGGCAGUGGGGGGAUAUUUAGAAGCAGUCGGUGGGAGAGGAUGAACUGCUGAGUUUGAAGUAGUGAAAGGGGAAAUCAGUCAUAAAAUUCAUGUUUGAGAAUUACACCAGUGAAGCCGUUGACUGCCUGGGUCAGAGCCGAAGGGCCAUGUUUAGUGGCUGGGAGCCACUCGCCCCCAGCACUGGCUUUCUGCAUGCUGCACGCCUCUUAUGUCAAGUCUUUGCCUCCAUUUUUGUAGGACCUCUUCUUUUUCAUUUUUUUUAGUUUUAUUUGUUCCCCUUUUUAUUUUAUUUAUUUUUCAUUUGUUUAAAUGUAUGGGGUACAAGUGCACAUUUGUAACAUGCAUAGAUUGCAUAGGGAUCAAGUCAGGGCUUUUAGGGGAUCCCUCACCCACAUAAACAUACAUUUCACCAAUUGAGUAAUUUCUUACAUAGGACCUUUCUACUGUCAACAGUAAUUGUGGGAAUUGUUUCUACAGUGAUUUAAGCCUUGAAAGAAGUAACUUCCUCCUAGUAAAAUUGUAAAAUCAAAUGGUAAGAUGACGUGGUCUCUAAGGAGGAGUGUCUACAGCUUUAAUUACUACACUGCUAAUGGUGAGAGGGUUGUACAUUUUAUCUGGUAAGAGAAAGUCUGCCUCUCCCAUGGGCGGAUGAUAUGACUUUUAUUGAAUGGAAAACCGGAUGGAGAUUAUUUUUCAUCUUGCUAAUGUAGUUUUAAAUUAUGUAUUCCAUGUUCACAUUGUAAUUGUAGCAUUUUCUUGCAUGACACUUUCAGCAAAGUUUGGUAGCUGUUUCCCAUGCUUGGCAUUACCUCUAAAGGUGAAGUAACAUAAGAAUUGUAUAGGAAUACCAUGAGAGCAUAACGUGAGCAUUAUCAGCUAGGUGAGUGCGGAAGAUCACACUGUUUAAUUGCUGGAUUGCCAGCUUCUGACCCUUCUCUGGGAGUGCGGCUGCCUCUGUACCUGCUUCAUGACAGUACAAGCGUGAAGGCCACAGGAGAAAAAGAACAGGACCACACAGCCCAGACCAGCCUUGGAAGGCAUGACAUUGCGUACAGAGUGUAUCGGUUGCUUCUGAUUUCCGUGAUUUGAACCACUCUUUUAUUAUGGACUUCAAAGGGAAAAAAUGGAACUUUAAAUUCUGAUCCAGGAGAACCAGUAGCCCACAGGCAGUCCUUUGACCUCCUGACCUGCUAUGCAUCCUCUGCCCUGCAGCUUCUCACAUCCCCAGGUGGAAAUGCUGUGCCCCUUCAUCCAUACCGUGGCACUUCCUCACUGGAGGUCACCUCUCCUGUGCAUGGUCACAUUCUGCCUGUCUGUUGAGAGGCUCCGUUCUUCGCUGCGUUCUGCUUACCUGGUUAAGCCACAAAAGGUUCUAUGCUUAGACUAGACGUGGGAUUUAAAAGUUUCCAUGUUCGUGUACAGGAGUGUACAAAAUAUGCAUGAGCAAGUGGUCACAGUCAUAGACACACCGUGCCUUGGGGGGCCCCAGGUCAUAAGAUGGUGUUCUCUGUAUUUCACCUGACGCCUUUGGUUUUGUUGCUCUGUGAGAAUGAGGGCAGUCUUUUAAAGGAACUCAUCCAGAAAGAAAGGAGAAGCAAGUGUGUUGGAGAGAAGAUACAUUUAUCAUGUCAUUACUAAGCCCUGUAUUAAACUUAUUGUAAACACUAGGGUAAUUACUGACUCCCUCCAUGUGAGGAAUCAGGGAAGGGCUGCUGUGUCCAGGCUUUCCGGCGUCCGUAAGUGCUACCUCCAGCUAUUCAGUAGCUCCAGCCGAAAGCCAUGCCCUCCCCUUUCCUGCAUCCUUAUUAUCAGCUCUGCUGCUCACCAUUGCCACCACCUUGUCCAAGCAAUUGACAUCAGUCUUUAUUGCCUUUUUCCAAUCCAUUUCUCACACACCAGGAGGAUUUUUUAUAGAUGUAAGUCAUAUAUUACUGCCCUGCUUAAGGGUGUGUCUUCGCUUUCUGGUGUACUUGAGAUAAAAUUCAUACUUUUUUUUGUUUGUUUUUGAGACGGAGUCUCCCUCUGUUGCCCAAGCUGGAGUGCAGUAGCACCAUCUCAGCUUGCUACAAGCUCCGCCUCCCGUCUUCAUGCCAUUCUCCUGCCUCAGCCUCCCGAUUUAGCUGGGACUACAGGCUCCCACCACCACGCCUGGCUAUUUUUUUUUUUUUAUUUUUAGUAGAGAUGGGGUUUCACCGUGUUAGCCAGGAUGAUCUCGAUCUCCUGAUCUUGUGAUCUGCCUUCUCGGCCUCCCAAAGUGCUGGGAUUACAGGCAUGAGCCACCGCACCUGGCCAAAUUUCAUACUUCUUACUGUGGCCUACAGGACCCUUUGGGGCUGGCCUUUCAUUGCUUACUGGGCUUCCAAUAUGCUAGGCUCCCUCCACUUUCUGGAAUUGGCCAAUUUCUUUCCUCCUGUUUUGCACAUGUAUUCAUAUAUAUACAUAUACACACAUACCUUUUUUUUUUUUAAUCUGGUUGACCUCUUAUCCUUCUGGCCUCAGCACAGACGGCACUUCCUGGGAGAAGACUCCCCGAUUUUCCCCCUCCAUCUAAAACAUAGCGCUCAGCCACAGUUCUAGUUGCAUGCUUAAUGUGUUGGUUUCUUUACCUAAGCUAAGCUGCGGGAAGUUAGGCAGCACAUAUGUUUAUUUACUCAGUCUCACGGCAUUAGCACCUGGAACAACACCAGGCAGUGCUCACUUGCUCAGGUUUGUUAAACAGUGACUCUGAUUUUUGUGUCUUUGUCUUGUUGCCAGAUUAAGUUCUUGUCUGUGGUUUUAUGGCCAGAAGAGGCACACAUAAAUGAAUGAGUACUCUGCCUUUAACUCCCUUCAUACUUUCUGCUCUUUUCCUUCUGUCCAAUUUAUUAAGCACACUGCAUACUAUGUGCCAUGUCAUGAGGUUCACUGGGUGACCCCCAUGGGACCAUGUGACUGAUUUGUCCUCUGAAAGCCAGUGCUUGCUGGGCUGGGGAGAAGCCAGUUGCACAAAAGGUUAUAACAUAAGGCAACAGGUAAGUGCUCUCAGCUGAGCAACUUAAGAGACUGUGUUCAAAGGCUCAAGGAGCGAGCAUGUCUGGUUGAGGUCUGCAGAAACUAUGAAGAGGGAAAAGGUGUCUCCGUGGGCCUGGAAGGAUUAGUCGGGUUUUUAUAAAGCAGCAGUGUUGGAAGCGAUGGUUUGGAUAGAAGGCAUGAAGUGGGUAGUGGAGUGUUUCUGAUGGUUUAUACACCUCUAGACCUUACCUGAGAAAGGAUUUUUUUUUUUUUUUCCCCAAGACGGAGUCUCUCUCUGUCGCCCAGGCUGGAGUGCAGUGGCACGACCUCGGCUCACUGCAAGCUCCACCUCCCAGGUUCACGCCAUUCUCCUGCCUCAGCCUCCCGAGUAGCUGGGACUACAGGCGCCUGCCACCACGCCCGGCUAAUCUUUUUUUUGUAUUUUUUAGUAGAGACGGGGUUUCACCGUGGUCUCGAUCUCUUGACCUCGUGAUCCACCCGCCUUGGCCUCCCAAAGUGCUGGGAUUACAGGCGUGAGCCACUGCGCCCAGCCGAAAAAGGAUUUUUAAGGCAGUUGACAGUUUGGAAAUACAGGGAUAUAGUGUUCUGUUUUUAAAUCCAAGCGAAGAUGUCAUGACAAACUGAAAUGAAAACAUAUUAAAGCCAGGGUUAUGGUUAGUCCAGUCCAGGGUAUGCAUGCCGUGGCAUUGGUGACUGCAGGUGGGCUGCAGAUUUGGCUUUCAGCUGUCUGGUGGCAUGUGAUAAGAGUGUGCUGAUGAGUCAGAUCCACAGUGCUCUCACACAUACAUGCGCACAGUAGUUGCUCCGUAGAAGUAUAACUGUGCACGGUAAUGAGACUUGAAAAACAGUUUUGCCCUAGGUCAUUAGGAAAGUUUUUCCUGGUUUAGUGAACAAAAUGUGUCCGCACCACUUUCUUCACAAUUGAUACAGUAUUCAUGGUACUGUUUGCUAAAGGGGGUCCUUGGUUUGUAGCCAGAGGCACAAACCACUUUUGGUAUUGGUUCUAGGGAUAGCUAAAAGCCUCAGAGUUCAUGUCAUAGAGCAUGGUGUUUCUAACCCCCGCCCCUUAGCUUUAAAUAAAAUAUUAGAAAAGAAUCUAUAAUUUUCAAAAUUAUUUAACUUUAAAUAACUUCCUAGGUUAGUUUUAAACCUUUAGGGGUUACAGGACAUCCACUUUCAAAUUUCACCUUCCAGUAAGUAAAAACAUGACUUACAAAUACAGAAUCCAUUCAUGUCAAGUAUUCAUUUAACUCAGCGAAGGAAUCAAAAAGAUAGUAAAGUUGAGUCAAAGAAAAUGCAGGAGACCAUGUGUAGGCACUGAAACAACGCUGGGAUAGUUUCAGAGAAAGAGACAAAACCGGUUAACGGCCUGCAGGGCAGCCAUACUAACCUUUGCUGUUGUCUUUUCUCCUGAGCAGGUGUCAUUUCAAUCUCUAAGCAAUGCCAUUGAUUUAUAUCACUCUCAGUUUUCUAAAAUUGACAUCCAUAUGGAGCUGUAAAAUACUCUAAACAGCGCUAAACAGUCAAAUGAAGGUACAUGGCCAUAAAGAACGAGAUGAUCCCUGGUGGGAGUGGCUCCCAGUGCCCCAGCAUGAUGUUGAAAAGAUACGUGGUCCUUUCACCUGUUUCCAAGUUGGGAAUUUUUUUUUUUCCUGACCAUUAGGAAAAAUGUUGACGUUGGUUUUGGUGAAUCUGAUUUGACCCAUUCUUCCUGGGAGUAAUAGGAUAACACGGCCGCUUCUCAUUUGUGUAGACAACCCCAGCUCAUCAUCAUCUGCACGUGGCCUGGAGGGUCACUGUUCCCUGCAGUGGCUCCUUGGGAGAGGAGUAGCACCCUGUUCAUCAAAAGCAGGUAGCAAGGCGCACUUACAGUUGCUGACUGGCAGGGGCGGAACGCCGUAGGGCUUUGUAGCCAGGGUAAGAAGUUUGGGUUUUUUUCAGAUGGUGAAGGGAUUGAAGUGGAAACAUGAUGUGUGCUGAUUGACAUUUGACAUUUGAUUGUCUUCUCAGUCCAUUUUCAGAUAUUUGUGAGAGAAUAUCUGAAACUACGUAAUUUACAAAGAAAAGGAAUUUUUCUUUCUUGAAGUGAUAGAUGCUGAGGAGUCCAGGAUCAAGGGGCCCCCUCUGGUGGAGCCUCUUUGCUGGUGAGGACUCUGCUGAGUUCCCAGGCAUCACAUGGCGAGGGGGCAGAGCCUGCUUAUGUGCCAGCUCAGCUCACUCUCCCCCUCUUCUUAUGAAGCCACCAGUCGCACUCCCGUGAUAACCCAUUCAUGAGGGCAGAGCCCCCAUGACCCAAUUGCCUCUUAAAGGCCCCUCGUCUCAAUACUGCCACACUGGGGGUUACAUUUCAGGAUGUGUCUUGGAAGGGAUAAAUGUUCAAACCAUAGCAGCUGCUGACUGCUCUGAGGAGAGUGACUUGCCGGUGAGGUGGACUAGCAGAAGUCAUCAGAGCCUUUCUCAGAGUCCAGGCCAGGCUGUUAAUGCUGGUGGCUUGCAGAUGUAGACCAGCAUUACUAAACUCUUAAAAGUUUGUUUCCCUGGGAUCAAAGCUAACUUGGCAGAGACCUUAUUGUGUCUUCAGAAUUUUCUUCCCAGUGCUCGAAAUUCGAGCCAAGGAACGAAAAUCUCUUGAAUGAGGGUAAUUUUAUUAACACUCUUCCUUAUUAUUUAAUUAAAAUUUUUUUAUUUCAGGGGUGGUUUUAAGUGCCAUCUUUUAAAGCAUUACAUCGGUAAUUUGCUAAUCUGAGCUUCUCUCCUCUCCACAGCAUGAGGCCCUGAUACAUUUAGGGCCUCUGUUAAAAAGCAAAAAGUGUGUGGCAGUGGCAAUAGAAUCACCAAAGCUAAAAUCAUAGAGAAUGGUGGCUCGUAGUGUUUUAAAACUGUUUGAAAAGUGAUUAUAGGAUUGGGGAAAAGUUGAUACUUCCAUCUUUAAGCAGAUAACAGAAAGCCUGGUUGCAUGACUGGCAAACAAUUUUAGAUUUAAAAACAACAGCCCUUGGCUUUAAAAUACUUCCACCUUCUUCCGGCCUUCCAGGGAACUCUCUAUACUUCCUUACUAGGAGGGUUAUACUGGACAAAAGAGGACCGUCUAGUCUAGGGAUCAGCACGCUUUUCCUUUAAAGAGCCAUUUAGUAGAUAUUUUACACUUUGAGGCCAGACGGUCUCUACUACUACUUAACUCCACUAUUGUAGCCUGAAAGCAGCCAAAGACAACAGGUAAACAAAUGAACGUGGCUUACAAAACUUUAUUCACAAAAACAGGAAGCAGCCCAGAUUUGGCCAGGAGCCCUUGUUGGCGGAGCCCGGGUCUAGCCUGUUGGCCACCCAAGUUCUUACCUGUCUCCUCCUAACCUUCUCACCUUGGGAAACAUAAUUUAUUACCAUGUAUGCCUGAGUCAUAGAGGACUGACUGCUCUCUCUAUGGUUUCUCCUCUCCUAGGAGUGGACUAUUGUUGAUUUUUACUUGGUUCUUGCUAGGCUGGGAUAGGGGCUGCAGUGGAGGGUGGGAACAGGGUAAUCUUUGGUUGUUCUGGUCUUAGGCCCUGUGUGUCUCACCUGUGGGGGUGAAGUGUUUCAUGAUUUUUUUCUUCUGCUCAAGGAGUGAAAGAGUUCUUUUUUUUUUUUUUUUCCACACUCUCCUUCCUUUGGCACUAGUAGAUCAACAGGGUUUGCUGCCCUUCCCCCAGAGGCCAGAGAGAGGGCAGGGCAGGAGAGUACGGCUCCGUGCUUUUCUCAUGGGGGUGGCACGUCCUCUCCUCUGUGCCUGAAAGCCUGCUUCACCUCCACACUUUCUCAUUAGCGAACUGCUACGCUGUCGUGCCAGUCCACACGCAGCCUCUUGCAGGUCUUUAGAAGCUCAGCUGAGUUUCUUACUAUUAUCUGUCUCUUGUGUUCUGCCGCAGUUGAGACAGUCCACAUGGCCCCAGCUUUCCUUGCAGCGGCUCAUCUUUCCUCAGAUUGCAGGCUGUGUGGCUGCCUUGCAACCUCAGCCAUCCUGCAAGUUCAAGAACAGUUGUAAUUGAUAGUUUAUCCAGCUGUAACCAGCGUUUUAGCUGUGCACGGGCCUAUUCUUCAUUCUGAGCUAUUAAGCUGGUUUUCAUUUGACUUUGGUUUGCAUAGAACACAGGGUUUGCAGAAUGGGUUUGUGACUGGGGUGGGUUGUGACAUGGUUUCUUAGAACGGGGCCCACACAUGGCCCACGCAUAGAGGUGUUUCAGUACAGCAGUAACAGCCCGGCACGGUACCACAGUGUUCACAGUUGUGGGAACAGGGUGAAGAGUAGACUGUCCUCCAGCUGGGAGAGUAGGCAGGGAUGAGUCGGUGCAAGUGGACGAGUCCAGGACAGAGCUGGCUUCUGAGCCUAGGAGGUCGGGCACGUAUCCUUGCCUUUAUUCACUGUGCCCUGCCUGUGGUUUGCAUGUGAGAACACACAUCUCUGUCUUGUGUGCUGGGGCUGGCCCAACCUCGUAGAUCAUGUUUAACUCUGUGUUGUUAGGCAUAACCACAGUCUACUUUAAUGACAGCAGAUGCCCCACUGUUUAGUCACACUGCAAAGAGCAUCCUUUCGAUCACCUCCCAGUGGAAAUCCAUGAUGAUGAAUAAAUUCCUAGAUUCGGAUUUGUCAAAGAUUUGUUUUGUUUUGUUUAAUAUUUUUGAUACAAGUUGUCAAACCAUCUUCCAAAACACAUUUUACCACUCUGCUCUCUAGCCAGUGAACACAUUUUGCUUGGCCCUGAUAUUAGGGUUGUUUUGGGUGUUUGAUAAACUUAUGUGUUUUGACAUUAGAAUUGUAAACCAAAAAUAGCAUUCUAAGCCCUGCAGCUUGGAAUGUGAACUGCCUCUUGGCCAAGGGGACCCUAAAGAAACCUACAUAACUAGUUCAGGCCAUAAUGUGGGGGAUGGGGGCAGACACACCUCAUUAUACCCUUACCGCUUUGGAGUUUAGACACAACUGACUAGCAUUAACAUUAAAAGAGAAAUCCUAAUACUGACAGAACAGACUCUGUAGCAACCAGAUACCAACUUCCAACCUGAGUCAGGUAGAGCAUCACAUGACAGAUAAUAGGUGCCCUGAAGGAAGCCAAAGUAUUUUAUCCCAAAAUAUAACUUGACAUAUUCUGCAAUGCCCCUGUAAAGCUCUCUUGUGGGGGAAAUUUUCAUUCUGUAGAGAAUCUCCUUCCCUUACCAGGUCUUUUCCAGAGAGGCUGACACCUUUUCAGCUCUGAUAAGAGACAGUCACCCUAUAUAUGAAGCCUGCUACCUGGAGACUUCGUCUGUACGGCAAGAAGCUUGGCUUCCACACCUCCAUAUCUAAACUCAAGCAUUUCUUUAUUCUGGAUUCACCUCUUCAGAUAGGGCUUACUCUUGCAACCAAUUGCCAGUUAGGAAAUCUUUGGAUCCACCCAUGACCUGGAAGCCUCCCCACCCCGCCACCCCAUCCUGCCUUCCUAGGCCAAACCAAUGUAUACCUUACAUGUAUUGAUUUAUGUCUUUGCCCAUAACUUCUGUAUUCCUAAAAUGUCUAAAGCCAAACUGUAACCCAGCCACCUUGGCACAUGUUCUCAGGAUUUCCUGAGGCUAUGUCAGGGCCAUGAUCCUUAACCUCGGUAAAAUACACCUCUAAAUGGAUUGAGACUUGUCUCAGAUACUUUCUAGUCUACAGAAUGAUUAACUUGAUUGCUUUAAACCUUCAGGUUUGGAGUGGCCAUCUUUUUUACAAACUGCAUACCUCUAGCCUUCUCUUAGGAGAUGACGCUACAUGCCAAAUGUUUUAAAUUUCAAGGAUAGUCUUUAUAUAAAAUCUAUGUACUUGUGGAUAAUUUCCUCAAAGAACUCAUGAGAUGAGAAACUCUCGACUGAAGAGAACUAAAAAUAAAGACUGAGUGAAUGUCACAACCACUGAGAACAGGUUUUGAAAAGUUCACUGUGAGGUAAAUGAAGACCCUGUUCUCAUGGUCUGAAAAUUAAUUGAAAGGCCAACAGAAUGACGCCUGGAAGGGUGACCAGAUGUAUCGGGGGGGGGCGGGCAGUUUCUGUCCCCUGGCCUGCCUCCCCCUCUUUCAGUGAUGCUGACCAUUCACCUUUAUCUGAGUGGUUCAUUCCAGCCAAGCAGCUGAGCCUGUGAGGACAGAGGCAUCUCUCCAUUCUCUCAACAGCCUGUUUCUCUCUAAAAUAAAAUCACAUAUUUCCAUUUUCUUAUGAUGCUUCCUAAUUCCAAGGAGGUGUAGUGUGUAGUGAUCCCCUCAUGCUGGGCAGGUACCCCGGAUGGAGGCCUGGCCACGUGCACGGCCCACUGCCACACCUCCACCUCUGACAGGUGGGCCCUGAGGCUGAUGGGGAGUCCAGAGCACCCUGCCCACCAGAGAACUUCAGCUUUGAUCCGUUUUGUUUUUGAGGUUCCAAGUAAGAUUUUUCUUUAGGAAGGAAAAAAUAGCUCUGUAUACAGGGGCAAUGCUAGGAAAACUGUUGCUUUUCUGUACUUUGUGGAUUCUACUGAGUUUGUAACCUGCCCUGUCUUAUCAAAUCGUUUGCUUUCAUGGUUAUUCCUUCCUUAUGGUUUUGGGGUGGUUGAGUGUCUAUGUGUGUGUUGGCUUGUUUUCUUUUAAAGAACCUCAUGGAGAAAUUUAUCUUAGAUCUUAGAAGUACCAGAUUGUCUUUUGAAGUCAUAGGUUUGUUUUUGUCUUAGAAUCUUCGUUUUAAUGGCGUUUCCAUCCUUGCUUUGGCCUCUAGAAACACCAGAACUGAGUAUGUGGCUUGCUUUUAGGAGCUAACCACAAGACUGACUGUUUCUGUGUGGUGGUUCUGCCGCUAGCUUCUUGUUGGGGUUUGUUAGACUUUGAGUAGCUUUGCCUUUGUAGUUUUAAGGGAGGUCUAUAAUGUAUACUAAUACUAAUACAUUGUAACCAAGCAUAGAGCCUCAUUAUGAUAGCAGUUGAGACACAGUUAAAAUUAAUGUAAAUGUUACUCAAGUUUAAACUGUUUCUCUAAUCUCCGAUUUACAGAUGAAGUGGGGGGCAGAAGUCAGAAGUUAAUUGUCCUUUGGUGUAGUCUGCUGUUAGAAUACUGAGAAAUUGAUAGAAAUGGCAGCACUGAGGAAGGAUUAAAAGUAUAGAUGGCAAGUUUUCAUUCUUAGGCUGUUGCUGUUGGCAUUGCAGGGAGAAGGUUGAAGUAGACAUGAUGAUGAAUAUCAGCAAACACCUUGAACCCCUCCUUACUCUGGGUAAUUACAGAUGUACUUCCAAAUGAGGUGUCUGAAGUUCUGCCCUCUGUGAGGUGAACUAGGGGUGGAAAAUUAGCACUUGAACGUCUUAGCUUAGAACACAUUGGAUGCAAUAACUAUAGGUUGUGAGCUAAUUUUCUUUGAAGUAGAUGUUUGCCUGUAGCUACUAUUCAUGUAUCUACCCAAGAUAGUAUCUUCCUUUAAUAUCUAGGUUUUGAAAUUAACGGCCACACACUGUUAAUGAAAUAGAGAAAUUAGAUUGUAAUUGAUCAGUUGUCUUAUGAAAACAAUAGUUGCAAAAGCCAGUUGGUUCUGAGAGUCAGGAUAAACAUGAAGAAAAGUAUUGAUCAUUCAAUCCCAUGUCAAAGUAGAAUCAUUUCUGCAGGAAAUGUAGUUUUUGAAGAUGUGAUCAAUAAUAAGAUCCCACUGCUGGAGAAUUAUACCAUGUCGAUAGCUAUGGUUAUUUUUGUAUUUUCAUUUGUCCUUUUUAAUUGUUGUUGUUAUUGUUAAUUCUGCCUUAUUCUCUGCACUGAAAAGAAAGGUUGGGUGAUGUUCUGCCCCCCCCCCUUUUUUUUGGCACUUUGAGGUGACAUUAUAACAUAAAGGUUGUUGCUUUUUUCUCUCCAAUAUUUGAUGUAUUUUCAAAGGCUUUAAAAAGGAAAUAACUAAAUUUAAAGUACCACCUGUCUUGUUUAAUUUGCUUUAGGAAUUUAUCCCUAUAUGCUUAGUUAGAAUGAUAGGAUUGAUAUUGCGUAGUAAUUUCUGAUGUUUUUGUUUUAGUUUGUCAAAAGUAAAACUAAAUAGCAUGAAUUUGCGUCUGUAAUUAAAGAUUGACCGCGCUUGAAUAAAGUUUUCCAUUAACUUCUUCAAA